Molecule: ribosomal RNA, 217 nt
Filed under: uncultured bacterium
Lineage: Bacteria
Description: partial 16S ribosomal RNA
Rfam family: Bacterial small subunit ribosomal RNA
Source: RNAcentral
UACGUAGGGUGCAAGCGUUAAUCGGAAUUACUGGGCGUAAAGCGUGCGCAGGCGGUUUUGUAAGUCUGACGUGAAAUCCCCGGGCUCAACCUGGGAAUUGCGUUGGAGACUGCAAGGCUAGAAUCUGGCAGAGGGGGGUGAGAAUUCCACGUGUAGCAGUGAAAUGCGUAGAGAUGUGGAGGAACACCGAUGGCGAAGGCAGCCCCUGGGUCAAGAU